RNAcentral lists this long non-coding RNA (2041 nucleotides) under Homo sapiens (human). Its description in RNAcentral is "HSALNT0326840". Lineage: Eukaryota; Metazoa; Chordata; Mammalia; Primates; Hominidae. The record is from RNAcentral.
CAAUGGAGGUGCUGGUUUGGCUACAAGAUAUUCCAUUAUAGUCAGAAGUGAAAGGUCAUGACAUUCAUUUAAUUGUUAAAAUAUACUCUCAUUUUCAAUGACAUGUAUUUUAAAUAAAUAUACUUUAUUAUAAAAAUAAAUCUGAAAUAAUAGGACUAUUCUAAUGUAGCAAGGUCAAAAAAACACAUCUAUUUAGUUUGAAUUAUUAGAAGUAUAUUAAAUUUACAUUUAUAUACACAACACUGUUUUGUUUUGCUCACUAGAAUCAUAAUAUACUUCAUGAUUUUAUUACUUUUUAGUAUGUGGCCAGUUACAUACAUUGUUAGUCAUCCCUAAAGCAUUUACUCAGCAGUUACUGUACAUAGCACUGAAUUUAGUAAUGUAUAAGACAUAGUACUUUCUUUGGGGAAGUAACAAUCUAGAACAACAAAUAAGACAAACAAGUAUGAAAAUGAUAUUAUAAAGUAGUAUGAGAAUGUAUUGAAAUAGGAAUACAGAAAAUAGUGCUAUAAAGUAAAAUAAUGGUUAAUAUUUACUCCAGAAGCUGAAAUCACUAAACUGCAUGAUAGAACUAAAAGGGACCUUAGACACCAUCUAGUCUGACACUUUAAUUUUAUAGCUGAAGAGACCUUUGCUAACAAAUUAAAUGACUUAUCUAAAGCAACAAAUCUCAUAAGUGGCAGAAUGGAACUAGAACUCUGGCAUCUACAGUCUUGGCUCAAUGUAAUUGUAAAAAAAGAUGUGACCUUAGGAGAAGGGAAGAGUUGCAAGGGAAAGGGACUUGAGGUAGGGAAUACAACAGAUUCAAAACACGAUCAGUUUAGUUGCAGCAAAGCAUUUGUGUUGAAAACUGGUAGAACAUAGGAUUGAAGGAACAAGGGUUGAUGUCAUGGAGAACUUGGAAUGCCAGGCUGAGUUUAGACAAUGGGAAUCCCUAGAGGGUUUGGGUAGUGACAUGAUGAAACUGCUUUAUAAUAAGAUUAAUUCUGGGGUAGAACUUAGUGUAGAAAAUGUAGAAGAGUUUUAUCAAAUGAGCUUGAUGUGAACAUGCCAGUGUCAUGAGGAUACCACUGUACAGUCUCCACACUGUAUCUGUGAACAUCAGGAUGAUCUCUACAAAACAGCAAUCAAAAUUUACAUUAACUGACUUAUAAAACAAAAGUUAACAGAAGACUUCUGCAACCCUAUGCAGAUACAACCGUGAUGCUUUUGGAUUCCUUAAGAUGAAGGUUUGGGACCUUAAAACAUUUGUGGUGCUAUCUGAAGGAAUGAGAACACAAAGAAGGAAAGUCUUAAGUGCCAGCUCUGGCAUUAAAACAGCUGCAAAAAUACAAGAACUAUAGUGCCUACUCAUAUUUCCUUUUUUUCUCUGUAAAUAUUCAUAUAUUUUAACUAAUUUUCUCUUUCCUCUCUUACCUUUAUUAUUUUUAUAGGUUAACUAUAUCAUUGAGUCCACAAAUUGUAUAAUACUGAUAUAGGAUAAAUUAAACUAGUGGAAAAAUGAACAUGACCUUGAAAUGGAGCCAGGUGUGGUAACUAAAUCAACUUAGGAUCAUCACCCUUUGGGGAAGAGGAUGAUCACCUUUUUGGCUGUAUAGUGAAGAUUUGCAUUAGGUUAGGCUGGAACAUUUUUUUAAAAAACAGUAAUUAUGGGAAGAAAGGUGUAUACGCAUGCUGGACAGCCAAAUGGGUGGAUUGUAGGGAACAUGUGCCUUUUUUUCUUGGCUGAUGAGCAUUCAAACUCCUAUUUAGAGGAAAUGCCCUUUGUUUUACUGAAAAUAAGAGCUCUACCUCUUCUUACAGAAAGCAAGGGACUCUAGACAUUCUCUUUUCCUAGGAGAGUUAGCCAUUAUUCAAAGCUGAGGAGUUGAGAGUCUGCGUUGGUGACAUAUAGCAAAACCCAAACUAAUGUUCCUGUGGUGUGACCCUGACUGUGUUCUCUAUCCUGACUUCUUUUGUUUUCUGCUCAUUUUCUAAGUCUGAUUCUCCCAUCUUCCUGACAGUUAUGUGAGAUACUAAAUAUUCUUCCAAUAAAUUUCGC